This 1241-nucleotide ribosomal RNA is filed under the name metagenome. RNAcentral's name for it is "bacterial LSU rRNA". It matches the Rfam family "Bacterial large subunit ribosomal RNA", at positions 1564 to 2814 of the family's 2925-position model. The record is from RNAcentral.
UGAGUACGAGAUGCUACGGCAUCGAAGCAGUCUAUGUCAUACUUCCAAGAAAAGCUUGCACUGUCAGAAACAGAUAAUGCCUGUACCAUAACCGACACAGGUGGGUAGGUAGAGUAUACUAAGGGGCGCGAGAUAACUCUCUCUAAGGAACUCGGCAAAAUGACUCCGUAACUUCGGGAGAAGGAGUGCCUUAUUUUUAAGGUUGCAAUAACAAGAUCCAAGCAACUGUUUACCAAAAACACAGGUCUCCGCUAAGUCGUAAGACGAUGUAUGGGGGCUGACGCCUGCCCAGUGCCAGAAGGUUAAAGAAGUCGGUUAGCAUUCGCGAAGCUGGUAACUGAAGCCCUGGUGAACGGCGGCCGUAACAAUAACGGUCCUAAGGUAGCGAAAUUCCUUGUCGGGUAAGUUCCGACCCGCACGAAAGGCGUAAUGAUUUGGAUACUGUCUCGGAGAGGGGCUCGGUGAAAUAGACUUGUCUGUGAAGAUGCGGACUACCUGCACCUGGACAGAAAGACCCUAUGAAGCAUUACUGUAACUUGAAAUUGAAAUUGGACUUUAUUUGCGCAGUAUAGGUGGGAGGCGUUGAAAAUAUUCUUGCGGGAAUAUUGGAGCCAUCAGUGAGAUACCACUCUUGUAAUGUUAGAUUUCUAACUUUAUAUCAUUAUCUGGUUAAAGAACAGUUUCAGGCGGGCAGUUUGACUGGGGCGGUCGCCUCCCAAAUGGUAACGGAGGCGCACAAAGGUUUCCUCUGAACGGGUAGAAAUCGUAUCUAGAGUGUAAAGGCAUAAGGAAGCUUGACUGUGAGACCUACAAGUCGAGCAGGGACGAAAGUCGGUCUUAGUGAUCUGACGGUGCUGAGUGGAAAGGCCGUCACUCAACGGAUAAAAGUUACUCUAAGGAUAACAGGCUGAUCUCCCCCAAGAGUUCACAUCGACGGGGAGGUUUGGCACCUCGAUGUCGGCUCAUCGCAUCCUGGGGCGGUAGUACGUCCCAAGGGUUGGGCUGUUCGCCCAUGAAAGCGGUACGCGAGCUGGGUUCAGAACGUCGUGAGACAGUUCGGUCCAUAUCCGGUGUAGGCGUUAGAAUAUUGAGAGGAGCCUUCUUUAGUACGAGAGGACCGAGAAGGACAUACCUCUGGUGUACCAGUUAUCGUGCCAACGGUAAACGCUGGGUAGCUAUGUAUGGAGUGGAUAACCGCUGAAAGCAUCUAAGUGGGAAGCCCACCUCAAGAUAAGUAUUCU